This 253-nucleotide ribosomal RNA is filed under the name uncultured bacterium. RNAcentral describes it as "partial 16S ribosomal RNA". It matches the Rfam family "Bacterial small subunit ribosomal RNA", at positions 524 to 776 of the family's 1533-position model. The record is from RNAcentral.
UACGUAGGGGGCAAGCGUUGUCCGGAUUUAUUGGGCGUAAAGAGCGUGUAGGCGGUCUGGUAGGUCCGUUGUGAAAACUCGAGGCUCAACCUCGAGACGCCGAUGGAAACCCUCAGACUAGAGUCCGGAAGAGGAGAGUGGAAUUCCUGGUGUAGCGGUGAAAUGCGCAGAUAUCAGGAAGAACACCCGUGGCUAAGGCGGCUCUCUAGGACGGUACUGACGCUGAGACGCGAAAGCGUGGGGAGCGAACAGG